AAACUAUCACUGAUACUGCUGGCAGUGUAUGAUAUAGCUCUCUUUGUGUUGUAUUUCUCAACAGGGUUAACUCGUAAUUACUAGGUAAACACAUCAGAGGCACAUCCAGCACAAAUGGACAAAACUACUGAGUUCAAGGAGAGCGCUGGUCUACAGCACCCUCAGAAAUGAUUGCUGUUUGAAGUAUAUAUCCACUGAGCUGUUCAGAGGAUCUGCAGAAAAUUGAAGUGGAGGUUCAAGAGUCAAAGAGCUCUGAUUACAGACAGUCCCCAAGAAGGAUGGCAUGAGAAGAAGUCUGUGUUUUUCUUAAAAACACCGGAAUUGUAAUUAGUUUCAUUUCCUUAGCUCAACAGCUAGCAUUUGAUCUCUGAUAAAACCUCUAGUUAUUAUUUACCAUGCUGGGUUAAAGCAAAUUGCUUGGAUUUAAUUCUAUAUAUACUCACUGUCUUCAUAUAAUUGAAUGAAAAGUCAGUAAGGGAAUAUUUAUAAUCUGUAAGUGAUACCUAAUUAACAACAAAAGCUCUUGUCAAGAUAAUCACCAGGGGGUUUUCAAACUGUUAGGAUACUCAUAAGAAAUAUAAAUAAACUAGAGAAAAUGGCAACAAACUAAAGCAACUGUGUUGUGCUUUGUCAAUAUUAUCUGGGCUCCAAAUGUAACCAUGUUUACUGUUGAGACAAAGAGGAGAGAACCCAAACCAAACAGAAACACGAUAAAAGGCAGGGUAUGUGACAGCAAGCCAUUGCUCUGUUUAGUCUAACAUCUUGACCCAACAGAAGAGAUAGUGGAAAUGCCUAUAUGAAUAAUUUAAGGUAUCUAUUUUUCAUGAGAGAGAUUUUCUCAAACUAAAUUUCUAUGAAACAUUGCCCUACAGAAGAUAGGACCAGUGAAUUUAGAGAUACAGCUGGGGAAGCCUGAGUGGAAACUCAAAGUUAUGAUGGGAGAUGAAGCUACAUACUGGAGGCAAGAUGUUCUGGUCUCCCUUGCUGAAUU
This is a long non-coding RNA of Tympanuchus pallidicinctus (lesser prairie-chicken), 991 nucleotides long. RefSeq lists it as uncharacterized. The transcript is spliced from 3 exons. Lineage: Eukaryota; Metazoa; Chordata; Aves; Galliformes; Phasianidae. The record is from RefSeq and is a predicted model, not a curated record.